This 492-nucleotide ribosomal RNA is filed under the name uncultured bacterium. RNAcentral's name for it is "partial 16S ribosomal RNA". It matches the Rfam family "Bacterial small subunit ribosomal RNA", at positions 29 to 507 of the family's 1533-position model. The record is from RNAcentral.
AGUGAACGCUGGCGGUAGGCCUAACACAUGCAAGUCGAACGGCAGCACAGUAAGAGCUUGCUCUUACGGGUGGCGAGUGGCGGACGGGUGAGGAAUACAUCGGAAUCUACUUUUUCGUGGGGGAUAACGUAGGGAAACUUACGCUAAUACCGCAUACGACCUACGGGUGAAAGCAGGGGAUCUUCGGACCUUGCGCGAUUGAAUGAGCCGAUGUCGGAUUAGCUAGUUGGCGGGGUAAAGGCCCACCAAGGCGACGAUCCGUAGCUGGUCUGAGAGGAUGGAUCGGCAAACCGGGACCGGGACAACGUUCCGGCUUCCUAGGGGAGGCAGAGUUGGGAAUAUUUGAACAAGGGCGCAAGCCUGAUCCAGCCAUACCGCGUGGGUGAAGAAGGCCUUCGGGUUGUAAAGCCCUUUUGUUGGGAAAGAAAAGCAGCAGGUUAAUACCCCGCUGUUCUGACGGUACCCAAAGAAUAAGCACCGGCUAACUUCGUG